AUUGAACGCUGGCGGCAUGCUUUACACAUGCAAGUCGAACGGUAACAGGCCUUCGGGUGCUGACGAGUGGCGAACGGGUGAGUAAUGCAUCGGAACGUGCCCAGAGGUGGGGGAUAACGCAGCGAAAGCUGUGCUAAUACCGCAUGUGAUCUGAGGAUGAAAGCGGGGGACCAGUCAGCAAUGUUUGGCCUCGCGCCUUUGGAGCGGCCGAUGUCAGAUUAGGUAGUUGGUGGGGUAAAGGCCUACCAAGCCGACGAUCUGUAGCUGGUCUGAGAGGACGACCAGCCACACUGGGACUGAGACACGGCCCAGACUCCUACGGGAGGCAGCAGUGGGGAAUUUUGGACAAUGGGCGCAAGCCUGAUCCAGCAAUGCCGCGUGCGGGAAGAAGGCCUUCGGGUUGUAAACCGCUUUUGUACGGAACGAAAAGGCUCUGGCUAAUACCUGGGGCUGAUGACGGUACCGUAAGAAUAAGCACCGGCUAACUACGUG
Molecule: ribosomal RNA, 492 nt
Filed under: uncultured bacterium
Lineage: Bacteria
Description: partial 16S ribosomal RNA
Rfam family: Bacterial small subunit ribosomal RNA
Source: RNAcentral